GAUGAACGCUGGCGGCGUGCCUAAUACAUGCAAGUCGAGCGAACGGACGAGAAGCUUGCUUCUCUGAUGUUAGCGGCGGACGGGUGAGUAACACGUGGAUAACCUACCUAUAAGACUGGGAUAACUUCGGGAAACCGGAGCUAAUACCGGAUAAUAUUUUGAACCGCAUGGUUCAAAAGUGAAAGACGCUCUUGCUGUCACUUAUAGAUGGAUCCGCGCUGCAUUAGCUAGUUGGUAAGGUAACGGCUUACCAAGGCAACGAUGCAUAGCCGACCUGAGAGGGUGAUCGGCCACACUGGAACUGAGACACGGUCCAGACUCCUACGGGAGGCAGCAGUAGGGAAUCUUCCGCAAUGGGCGAAAGCCUGACGGAGCAACGCCGCGUGGGUGAUGAAGGUCUUCGGAUCGUAAAACUCUGUUAUUAGGGAAGAACAUAUGUGUAAGUAACUGUGCACAUCUUGACGGUACCUAAUCAGAAAGCCACGGCUAACUACGUG
RNAcentral lists this ribosomal RNA (497 nucleotides) under uncultured bacterium. RNAcentral's name for it is "partial 16S ribosomal RNA". It matches the Rfam family "Bacterial small subunit ribosomal RNA", at positions 28 to 507 of the family's 1533-position model. The record is from RNAcentral.